This is a long non-coding RNA of Micropterus salmoides (largemouth bass), 4290 nucleotides long. RefSeq lists it as uncharacterized. NCBI's taxonomy places the organism in Eukaryota, Metazoa, Chordata, Actinopteri, Centrarchiformes, Centrarchidae. The record is from RefSeq and is a predicted model, not a curated record. The transcript is spliced from 2 exons.
AUGUGCAGUAUGACAAAAAUGUGGUGUUUUUUGAAAAUUAAACCAUGUAAACCUGUUCUGGUACAACCCCUAAAUAGGAUUUUGAACCUGAACAUGAGCAUAAUACCACCUCUUUAAGGUUAGAUAAGGUUCCCUUGACUGUCGGUUGGAAACAGGAAGUAAACAGCAUGUAACUGGUGCACACUUUUUUAAUCGGGCCAAUCGCAUCUUGAACUUUUAUGCCGGUAAACCGAUGCGAAUCUGUGAUUCUUACCAUCCUCAGUGGGUGAGCGCUGUCACACAAACACAGACACACAAACAUGGUAAAUAAAUUAAGUUGUAAACUUUAGCAAACCUCAUGUGGUAAUUUUAUUUUCUGAAAAAGAUUUAUUAAGAGUGAAGUCACCUGAAGUGGAGUACCAGGGAGUCUGUGUUGCUCAGGGAGAUGAAAGGCAAACAGAGACUUUUGGAAGAAUAAAUUGAGGGCUCUGAUCACUUCCUCUUCUUGUCAUCCUCUCUCCCUGCUUUCGUCCCUAUGAUUCCUCCAUACAGAUUUGAGGUAAAGAGAGUUCCACAUCAACGUGUGAACACUUGGCUCUUUGCACUGACUGAUUUAUUUACGAAGCAUUGCAAGAGUGUUACGGAGAAUGUGUGUGCCUGUGUGAGUGUAUGUGAGUGGUUUUCUUUGCUUGUAUAUAAAUGUUUACAUGGUGCUGGAAUGUUCUGAAAUGUGAUCUACUCACCAGAGAGUGCCAACAGCCACGUAAAUGCACACACUCACACACACACACAGACACACCUACUACAGCUCUGAAGAACAUUACUGGCUGGGUGUGCUGGUUACACGGUUGGUUAGAUCAGUUUAUUCAAUGCAUUCCUCUUCUGUCUAAAAACUGCAACACACAGUACACAAAUGUCCCGGAAAAAUGUAUUGUCAUUCUUCACACACACACACACACACAACACACACAAUAUGGCAUUAUGUCAUUAUUGUGGUGUUGGUUGCAUCAGGCCAGAGGGACAAAUACUGAAUCAGAGCUUGGAUAAGCUGAAUUGACCUCCCAUAAAACAAAUUCUGAGGGGCUACAGAGGCACCACUUGAUCCCAAACCCCCAUCCCACCCACACAACACGCACACACACAAACACACACAGGAUGGCGGGCCAGGGGUAAGCAAGGCUGUUCUGUUUGACAACUAAUGAAGCAGGCCUCAAAGACAAGAUGGCACUUGCUGCCAUUUCCACUCUGAACACAAACACACACACACACGGGCAAACUACCAUCCAUGACUCUGAAUAACAAUCACAACAAAUGAAAGUGGCUGUGAGGGGGAAACUUUCCUCAUUGUCUGUUUUAAUUUGAGUCUUAUUUAACGAGUUGAGAAUCAAACGGCGGAUAAGGGGUGGGCGGCGGGCGAGGCGGCGCACAGAGACGACAAAAGACGCUGAGAGGGGGAGAAGAAGAAGAAAACGACAGAGAGACAUCAGACUCCAUCAGUCUGAAAAUAGAGCAGUUUUUUGUUUCAUCCGACAGGGAGAGGUGUCGAUAAUUAGGCUCUGUCAGGUAGAGUGGGGAGUGUGUGUUCCUGUGUGUGUGUGUCUGUGUGUGUGUAGAGUCUUCCUGACAGUAUGUGCUGAGAGCACUGUAAAUGCAUGGGUAAUGGUUGUCAGUAUGUGACAGCUAUAAAUGGCCCUUUAGUUCUCUUCUCAGCACUACAUUGACACACACACCCUCUCUCUCUCUUCACCCUUCUCACACUCUCUCUCACACACGUGCACACAUUGGAGCAAAGGAUCUUCAUUUUCAUGUUCAUCACCUUAAUUAUCAUCAGCACCAACACACACCAGCCUCUCCACUCGAGGGAGCAACACUGAGAACAAGAAUGUUGGAGGUUACCGUGCAGCUUGUUAACAUCAGAGACCUGUAAUUAAAAAAACUUCAUCGGACCUAUUUGACUGGCAAAGUAUUAUAAAUGGUUAUUUAUUGUUACAUAUGGAGAGUUUUAUUCAAGAGGGAACCCUCCGGGCAUGAAAAAUAAAGUCAAUGCGGAAGUGCCUUAAAUCUGCAUUCUUUCUAAAUUCCAGCAGGGGGCUACUCCACUGGUUGCAAAGUGACCACUUCUCACCUGAUUUAUUAUUAUAACUUCAGCAUUUUUAAACCUGGUCCCUAUUUUCACAUAUUUUGCUGUUGAAAUGACUAAUAGGUACAAAAGGUUUUGGAAUCUGUGCAGUAGACGGCUUCAGCUGGCAGUCAUGACCCGGCUGCAGUGGCUGUAACAUGUUCCUGUGGGGCAACUGUGUCAAUCAAAAAUAUGUGUGCAGAAAGUGCUUCUUUUUACCACUGACAUUUGUGUAACCUGACUGAUAAUUUAACAGAUUAACUAAAACACUGGACUAAAAUAACUGAUUAAACACACAUUCGAAAAAAUAACACCGGUUAAUGUUGAGGAACAAGUGAGUUAUCUUAACUAAUGUUUGGGCACAUUAUCAACUUAAAUAUUUUUUUAUAAAUAAAAAAGUGCCAAAAAUUCCUUUAAAAAAACAAAGUUACAUACACAAAAAAUGAGAACGCUAAUAAAAGCACCACACAGAUCAAAGAUAUUUUUUAAAAAAAGAGAAAUCGAAUUCAUCUGAGGUGGGAUAGUGCAAUUCAAUACAAUAAUACAUCAGAAUUACUGGUGGUUGAAUGAUUAUGUAAUAUUGUCCUCUUCUUGAUUAUAUUCGUAGUGCAGCUGAUGGAAACAUACAUUGAUUAAUAUUUCUUUUUGGCGGAAAUUCAGAAAUUAGCUAGAAACUUGAAUUGCAUAUGAGAUGGGUUUUUGUUUAAAAUAUCGACCACAAAAGUACCAAAAACACCAAAAUAGUUUAAUGAAAACAGGAGCUCAUAACAGUGAGCUAAAAACACAGCUAUGACAACGUGUUCUCUAAGAUGGUAACUAUGUGGUGAGAGAUGGUCAUCCUAGGAAAAGGUUAAAAGGCUAAUGUGUUGCUUUGGAAAAAGGAUCCCUUAAAAAAAUGUUCUUGGCUACCAAAAUAGGUUUCUAAACUAGCCAUCACUCUGUGUGUCGCUCACAUAAACACACACCCUCAGCGAGGUCACAGUUCAGACAGCUGGAUAAUAACAUUACAACUAAUGGACUCUCAUCUGUUUAUUCAUAAAGGUUUCCUCUUUCUUUUUCUCUGUGUGAGCAAGUGUAAGUGUAAGUGUGUGUGUGUGUGUGUGUGUGUGUGUGUGUGUGUGUGUGUGUGUGUGUGUGUGUGUGUGUGUGUGAGAGAGAGAGUGCACAGGCAGAGAGGACCGUUUUCAGCGGUUUCAGGUUGCGUCUCUUGGGAUGCUGUGGUGACUAUACGCUCAGUGCUUUGCUGCACAGGCAGGUCUGUGUGGAUGUGAGCUGGUCACAGGUGCCAACCAACACCCGCUGAUGACAACAGAAAGGUGCUCAUGGGAACUGCGGUGCAGGUAGAGAAGCCUGGACGGACAGUUCCUGACAGCUGGCCAAUCAGCUCUACUGAAACCUUUCCCUUGGUGUCAUCAGCAGACCUCAAUCGUUGUGCUGCCCCCUGAACUGCUGCUGGAAAGUUUCUCCAGGGGAGAAUGCAGGGAAAUGUCUCUUUAAAUUUGCAUUUAAAGCAUGCUGAGAUAUAAUCUUAUACCAUGUCAACACUGUGGCAUAUGAUUUUAAAGGCAACACAUAAUUUUUUUUAUUGUGUGUACUUUUUUUAACACUUGUGGUUUAAGUUAAAUUAUAGAUUUAAUUUUACAGUUAUUAUUUUUAUAUAUUUAGCAUUCUAUGUUACCUAGUUACCAUAAACUUCCAAAUGUCAUUGAAAUGUUUGCUGUUUGUGGAAAGAAAGGUAAAGGUAAACAAACAUGUUGCUGGUUGCUGUGUUUCUCCAUGGAUAAUUCCAAGUCAGUCCUCUGGUACACAAAGAGGUCGUGAUUCCCAUGUACCAGCUGGGAAUUUCCAACUUUGAGUUGUGUGACAUCAUUGAGCAUUGGUUACUCCAUCACUUUCUGUUCAUAAUGUUAGUUAAUUUUUGAAUGUUUUAAACUAAAGUUUUGGCCAUGUCAUACACAUUGUACCUUUAAGUGCACUGUUAUAUAUAGCAUUUAACCUAGCUUAGCAUUACUCUCUCUUUUUUAUAUCAUUAAUGAAGGGUGAUUCAGCUCUUCAAUGCCUGAAUAACACUCAUAAAAUAUAAGAUAUAUACAGCAAAUAUUUAUUUAUGAAAUUAAAACUAGAGUACCUAUAAGUUCUUGUAAAAGGUUAAAACAACCUGAUAUCCCCAGCCUGAUAGGCCUGGUAGCUAA